GACUGUCUUGAACCAUUACCCGGCGAAAUUGAAAUGGCUGUGAAGAUGCGGCCUACUUGCACUUGGACAAAAAGACCCCGUGGAGCUUUACUGCACCUAGACACUGAGGACUCUAUUUUGACUGUCGAGUAUAGGUGGGAGGCCCGUGCUUCGCACGGGAAUAUUCAAAUAAUCCAAUACUACCAAUUAUCCAAUAAUCCAAUAUUGGAUAAUUUGAGAAUUUGAUAAUUGGAAAUUGGAUAUUCAUGCGCGGAGCAUGGCCAUCACUGGAAUACCACUCUUCGAAAUGGGGAAAUCUGACUUACUCCCGCAUAAAAAUCCGGGAGGAGGACACUGUCUGGCGGGCAGUUUAACUGGGGAGGUUGCCUCCAAAAUUGUAACGGAGGCGUACAAAGGUUGGCUAAUCCUGAAUGGAAACCAGGACGUGUCGUGCAAACGCGGCAAGCCAGCUUGACUGCGAGACGUACAGGUCGAGCAGGGACGAAAGUCGGUGUUAGUGAUCCUCGGAUCCCUCGUGGGAGGGACCGGGCUUAACGGAUAAAAGCUACCCCGGGGAUAACAGGCUGAUCGCUUCCGAGAGUCCAUAUCGACGAGGCGGUUUGGCACCUCGAUAAUCCCGAUGAAGUCGGGAUCAUGUCGCCUAAAGGAGUAAUCCUUUUUGAAUAAUUCAGCUCAUAUCGGUGAAGCCCUCUUACUCUUUUGAACCGGAGUGAAGGGUAAUACCGAGGGAAGUCUUCGUGACCCCGUAACGACUGAUCCACGUUCAGAUUAUAUGAACGUGGUGAGAUGGAUCUUUUCAACGAUCUAUCACACGCUGAACACCCUUUUACUACAAUACAAAGGGUGGUGGCAUAGUCUAUGCCAUUGGAAACAAUGGACUAUCAUGGUCGGCUCAUCCUAUCCUGGGGCUGGAGAAGGUCCCAAGGGUCCGGCUGUUCGCCGGUUAAAAGGGUACGCGAGCUGGGUUCAGAACGUAGAUAACACUGCGUUGUGCCGUAGUAAUGCGGUACUAGUAUUAGCUGUAUCGGUGAAGCCUUCGAUCGUUUUUUUCGAACUGCACGAUCAUGGUAAUACCGAGGGAAGCUUUCUAAGCGAAGAGUUAUACUAGCUGUAUGACGUCUCAACAAAAUCAAUUUAUGAUAGGUAAACUUAUCGGUGACGGAAGUAUAGAGAAUCGCGGGAACGCGAAUGCGCGAUUACAAAUACGACAUUCAAUGCGCCAAAAAGCAUAUGUAGAUUGGUGUUUUGAGCAGGUAAAAGAAUUUACAAUUUCGUCGCCGAAGCAACACAAAGAUUCGUAUUACUUUCGAACGAGAAGUUUGCCAUUAUUUACUGAGAUUCGGCGUCAAUGGUAUGCGAAUGGAAGGAAAAUUUUGCCUAGAGGCAUUUAUUUAACCGCAUUCUCUAUCGCCAUCUGGUAUAUGGAUGAUGGAUAUUGGGAUACAAGACAAAAAUCUGCAUGGUUUUGUACGCAUAAUUUUCGAGAUGAUGAAAUAUUUCAACUGAUCGAAACAUUAGCAAAGCAUGAAAUCCUUGCUACACCAAUUAGAGAUCGUUUGCAUAUGAAAUUACGCAUUCGUUCAAUAAGUACACAUAGGUUUUUAAAUCUCGUAAAACCAUAUAUCCAUUCUUCGUUACUGUAUAAAAUUGGAAUAGCCCCGUAGAGACUAUACGCUAGCUCCCGAGAAACAGCGGGAUGAAGAUAUAGUCCAUGCCACCAGAAAUGGUUGGAAUAACAUGCGUGAGACAGUUCGGUCUCUAUCCAGUGCAAGCGAUCGAUUCUUGAGGGGAGUUCUCCCUAGUAGACGCGGAUAAAGCGUCAUGCUCUUCCGAUUUGUAAAGAUCGGAAUGUAAUUGGCUUAUAACGGUGAAGUCUUCCGAUAGUUAUGGUACGAUAAAUAGAUGCGAGAGGACCAUAAUAUCAAAGAUAAUACCGUGGGAAGUCGGUUUGGAACAGAUCUCUUGAAGAUAGAUAUUCUUGAAUUAUUUGAAUUUGAUACCUUGAAAAUAGAAGCUUUGAUAUACGAACGUGGAACAAUAUGAUACUAAGUUUCCGCGAUCUUGAAGUGUAUCAGGAAAGCUUUCGACUUCAGUUGGAAAUUGAGGAUAUACUUAAAGUAUUUCCUCAAGGUGAACGGUAUCUUCUCUGUGAUCAGAUGCGAAGAGCAUCCAGAGGAAUACCAUCACUUAUUGCUGAAGGCUGGGCAAAGCGAGAAUCACUAAAGGAGUUUCAGAAAUUCCUUCGUGAUGCAGGUGCUGAAGCUAACGAAAUGAUUAGUCAUUUAUUGUUAGUGAAGCAUAAGCAUUAUGUUCAAAAAGAGGGAUACGUAGAUGAGGUGAUUACUCGAUACGAAAAACUUGCCAAAAAAUUGACCAAUUUAAAAAAUAAUUGGCAAAAUUUCAAGUAGUCAAGCAAUCAAAUAUAUCAAAGUCAAGAAUAUCCAUAUUCCAUAUUCAAAUCAUCCCAAACUUGACCCCGUAACGACUGAUGUCCUCCGCCAACCGGCGGAGAGAUUGAGAUCUAUCAAAUGAUGGAUCAAACGCCGACCCCUCCUAUUCGGAGGGUGAAGAUAUAGUCUGAGCUCUUAGAAAUAAGAGAAUAACUUGACGAGAGGACCGGGAGGAACGGAUCCCUGGUGUGCCUAUUGUCGGACAACCGGCAUCGUAGGGUAGCUAGAUCCGGAAGGGAUAAGUGCUGAAAGCAUCUCAAGCGCCAAGCCCACCCCAAGAUGAGGAAUCGUGAUUCAGACCCGUUGUAGAUGACAACGUUAAUAGGCGAGAAAUGUACGCACGGCAACGUGUUUAGUUUACUCGUACUAAUCGGUCGAAGU
Molecule: ribosomal RNA, 2831 nt
Filed under: Candidatus Gottesmanbacteria bacterium
Lineage: Bacteria; Candidatus Gottesmaniibacteriota
Description: partial 23S ribosomal RNA
Rfam family: Bacterial large subunit ribosomal RNA
Source: RNAcentral